Molecule: long non-coding RNA, 370 nt
Organism: Homo sapiens (human)
Lineage: Eukaryota; Metazoa; Chordata; Mammalia; Primates; Hominidae
Source: Ensembl
GGGGGCGCGGAGCGGAGUUAGGGUCGCCAGGCCGAGCCGAGGUGGGACGGACCGACGCAGAGAGGAAGGGAAGCCACCUGGCCUGAAGAUCCUGUCUCUAAGAUCCCAUUCUGAGGCUUCGAGGGUCUGGCUUGAGCAGCACAGACAGGGACGUGUCUAACCGGGAUGACCAUGAGGUCUCAUCGCAGUUUGCCACUAACCAGAUAAGGAAAUGGCAGCUGACCCAGGUCAAGGAAGUUCCUGAGGUCCCAGGGCUAAUAAGUGGCCUGACUCCACCACCAGCCCCCAGGAGGAAGCCAACCCCAGCCCUAGAAAAACCCAAUUCCUGAGUGAGUGCUGUAAACCAAAAAUAAAAUUCUAAGCUUCCCAA